This 760-nucleotide long non-coding RNA is filed under the name Eutrema salsugineum. RNAcentral describes it as "long non-coding RNA (ESAL_LNC000328)". The record is from RNAcentral. Lineage: Eukaryota; Viridiplantae; Streptophyta; Magnoliopsida; Brassicales; Brassicaceae.
GAAAAUUUUAUCCUAGUAUAUAAAGAAAAUAACCCUAAUUUUGUUAAAAUAUAAACCUUCCUGUUUCUAAAACGGUGCUGUGCUUCUCUCUCUCUCCUCCCUUGCGCCGUUAAGCACCGCCAUCUCUCUCAUUGUUAACCACCGACACCUCUCUCUCAUCGUUAACCUCCACCGUUUUCUUGCGAAUCUUCUUGUCAAGGUAUGAUGUGGCUGUUUCUUCUCGCCUUGAUAUCUUCGUUGUUCGAUUCAUGAAUUUAGCACCAUAUGAUGGAGAUGCAGGCGAUGUAGGAGAAGAUGAAGAUAGAGAAGGAGAAAACGGAGGAUCUGCUGAAGGAGAAGGACGAGAUCCUGAGGAAGAAGGAAGAGGAACUCGAGACUGAGGGAUGUUGAGCAGGAGAAGAUGAAAAAACUGCAGAAGAUGAAGGAAUUCAAGCCUCUCCAUUUUUUAGCAAUUUAGGUUCUGUGAACAUAUUGGAAUGGGUUCUAAAUGGUUUUUGUGAUAUAUUCAGAAAUUGUAAUUAAUCAUAUUGAAUUUGUAGUUCAUGGAUGACUCGCUUGGUACAUAUUGCUUGAUUAGUAGUAGUAGUAAUAUCAACGGAGAUCUUAGAUUUGUACAAAAAUUGAUUCAUGAUCUAUUCUCUGUAUUCUCCUUUACAGUUUUAUUGUUUUAUUAACCUGCACCAUGGUUGGUUUGAUUUCUAUGCUUGUGUUUAAGAUGCUGAAUUGUUUAUUUGGUGGCAAGAAUGUUAGAUUAAGCUGU